Molecule: ribosomal RNA, 503 nt
Filed under: uncultured fungus
Lineage: Eukaryota; Fungi
Description: SSU rRNA
Rfam family: Eukaryotic small subunit ribosomal RNA
Source: RNAcentral
AGCAGCCGCGGUAAUUCCAGCUCCAAUAGCGUAUACUAAAGUUGUUGCAGUUAAAAAGCUCGUAGUUGAACUUCGGGAUCAAUGAAUCGGUCAUGCUUUAGUAUGUACUGGUUCUAUUGGUUCUCACCUUCUAAGGAACCAUAAUGUCAUUCAUUUGAUGUUGUGGGGAAUUAGGACUGUUACCUUGAAAAAAUUAGAGUGUUUAAAGCAGGCUAACGCUUGAAUACAUUAGCAUGGAAUAAUGAAAUAGGACAUUUGAUUCUAUUUUGUUGGUUUCUAGGAUCGACGUAAUGAUUAAUAGGGAUAGUUGGGGGCAUUAGUAUUCAAUUGUCAGAGGUGAAAUUCUUGGAUUUAUUGAAGACUAACUACUGCGAAAGCAUUUGCCAAGGAUGUUUUCAUUAAUCAAGAACGAAAGUUAGGGGAUCGAAGACGAUCAGAUACCGUCGUAGUCUUAACCAUAAACUAUGCCGACUAGGGAUCGGAUGAUGUUAUUUUGAUGACUC